RNAcentral lists this ribosomal RNA (783 nucleotides) under Gryllotalpa pluvialis. RNAcentral's name for it is "small subunit ribosomal RNA". Lineage: Eukaryota; Metazoa; Arthropoda; Insecta; Orthoptera; Gryllotalpidae. The record is from RNAcentral.
UAUUAGUUUCUUUACUUAAUAUUGAACCUAAUUUAUAUUUAACUGUUUAUCAUUUUUUGAGUUUUAUUCUGACUUAUGUAUUUAUUUUAAGAUUGUUCUAUAUGUAAGAUUUUUUAGAAAGUUCGGUUGCAGUGGAUAUAAUUAUUUAUUGGGGUAACCUUGAUUUAGUAUUUUUUUAUAUGUUUGACAAAAUUCGUGCCAGCUGUCGCGGUUAUACGAUAAAAUGGAAUGAAUAUUAUUGAUGGGAAGUAAACUUUAUACAUAAAGUAAUAAUAAUUUUUGGUGAAAUUUUGUUUUAAUUAAAAUGUAGUGCAUACUUUGAAAUUUAGAUUAUAGACUAGGAUUAGAUACCCUAUUAUUCUAAUAGUAAUUUUAGUCGUCAGGGUAAUAUAAUGUAAAGUUUGAAACCUAAAGAAUUUGGCGGUGUUUUAGUCUCUUUAGAGGAAUCUGUCCUAUAAUUGAUACUACACGAUCAUUUAUACCUAAUUUGUGCUUGUAUACCGUCGUCAUUAGAUGAGCUUAUAAGAGUGUUUUCGUAAAACUAGUAAGGUAAAAUGUCAGAUCAAGGUGCAGUUUGUUAGGAAGGGAGAUGGAUUACAAUAAUGAAAUUUAUAUGGAUUAUAAGUAUAAAGUUUAUAUGAAGGUGGAUUUAAAAGUAAAGUUGUUUUAGAUAAUAAUUUGAUUUGAGCUCUAAAAUGUGUACAUAUCGCCCGUCGCUCUCAUUAUUUAAGAUGAGAUAAGUCGUAACAUAGUAGAUGUACUGGAAAGUGUAUCUAGAAGAAG